CAUGAGGCCUUAAAUGAGGUUUCAUGAGGCCUUAAAUGAGGCCUUAAAUGAGGUCUCAUGAGGUCUUAAAUGAGGUCACAUGAGGCCUUAAAUGAGGUCUUAAAUGAGGUCUUAAAUGAGGUCGCAUGAGGUCUUAAAUGAGGUCUUAAAUGAGGUCUCAUGAGGCCUUAAAUGAGGUCUCAUGAGGUCUCAUGAGGUUUUAAAGGCAAAGCUGCCAACUUCCAAUGAGACGCCAUUACUUGCCUUUGGUUGCACAAUUCCUAGCAGCUCAGGUAAGAAAUUGGCAUCAGAUGCUUAGAGUAUAAAAUCCUGGUUAUGUAGUGAGACACUUAAAGGCGCUUACAAAUUGUGAAAGUAAAUGUUAUUGUGUUAAGGGUAGGUGUGGUGUUAGACAUUAAUAAGGUCAUCAUCAAAAAAAAAAUCAAAAUGGUCUUAUAACAGACUUAUUGUGAGUGCUGAAUAUCACAUGAAUAUCAUAAAGAUGACUUUAUCUAAGUCAGUAAAUGAGGUGGAUUAUUUUUAGUUGCUUGGUCUGAUGUAAAUCUACACCCGUAGCAUUUUUUUGUGAAACCUGCCAGUUGUACUAUGAUUUGUAUAGUAUAUUAUUAUAGAACAGCUUUGUAGUAAUAUUACUGUAAAUCACAAUUGCAUUAUGAGACAGAACGAAAACAGCAUCUUACUGCAUAGAAAUGAUGUCCUCCAUAGUAUUGCUCCAACUGCAUUGUGGACGAAUACAACCUUAGAGUGAAAAGCUUGCUAGGGGUUCAGGCCUCUAUAAAGAGAAUUGGGACAAUGUGCAUUUUUAAUGACGCCAUAUUAACUAAUGCAAUUUAUUGAAAUUGAGAAGUAGAAAAAGAGCUGGUCAGGUGCCAGUGUGUUUACAGGUGUAGGAUAUGUAGAAUUUCACAAAAAAAAGCUACAGUGCUUACAUUUUGGUUUAUGAACUUCGCAGUCUAUUUAAUUUACCAUAGCAUACAGACUUCAUCGUUAUGAGUCAAACCCAUUAUCUUAGUGCUGCUUUAUCGACUGCCCUACCUGUUGAGCUACAAAAUGAUUUGAAAAUUAUUACUCCAAUAUCCCCUCAUGAAUUUAAAAUACAAAACAAAAACACCAAAAGUUAAUGAAAAGAACACUAGAAAAAAAGCUAAAAUCUGUUGGAUUGUACCUUUUUCAGAAUUCCUUGGGUAGACUUGCAAUGUACCUGAACAACAUUUUAAUUCAAUCAAAACUACAGAACUAUAGAACAAAAUGGCUUACUGCAUUAAAAUGCUUUGACAUUAAUAAAGAAUAAAAAAUUAUAUAACUAAUUAUAUAACAAUUUUUAACAUAAACACAGGCUUUUCUAACAGUACAUUUCUAUUUGAAAUGGAUGUUACAGAAUUAAUUUGGCAUUAGGAUGCAUAUAUCUACUACAGGUUUACAUCAUCAUUCACAGUAUUACUUCUUACACCAUUCCACAAGUCGUAAUUAAAAAUGUGUUAUAACUCAUAAGCUAACCACACAAAAAAGGCCUGACUUUCCAAAUGGGUCAUUUGACCCAUACAUUUUCCCAUAAUGCAAUUGUGAGCUUCAGCAAUUCCCUGCAUAACAGUACUACAGAACUAUCACAGAACAUAAACCUGAUCAACUGGUCAACAGGACCACAUUAAAGGAAAUAUGUUUUACCUGAAAAGUUGUGCGCCAAUGCCGAUUUUACAAAUGCAUUGGACAGAAUCAAUAUAGCCACAACAUGAAAUAAACCAUAAUGUACCAAAGUGUUUCAUCGAAGAACUUAAGUUUAAAGGCUGUGGUAAUUUUGAAAGUUUACCAGAAAAUGUGAAAUCUCCAAAAGUGUGAGCUGUCUAGUUGAAAGUUUAGGAUGGCCGACUCUAAAGCGGUUCCACACAAUGACAGGGUUCAAGACCUUUCGAGGCAUUUGUUAAACAGUAAAACACACUCCAGACUUACCUAACCUAAAAACUAUUAUUAAUAACCUUCUUACUACAACUGCUGUGUCCCUGAGCUAAGUGCACUCAGAAAGAACCACUGGGAGGUGUAAUGGUUGGAUCAUUUAAGCCUGUCUGUAUAUUAGGGUAGUUUAUUGGUGCUUCAAUAUGGUAAACAGUUGAUCACUAUAAAGCAACAUUACAAUCAUUUACUGACCAAUUGCUGCACAGUAAGAUACUGCUGUUUGGGUUUUACAGUAGGCUUAUUCCUAAUGUAUAUUCAAAAACUUCCAUUCAUAAAAUACUGAAAAAAAGUAUUAGUGACUUACUGUUGACUUUCGUGUGGGAAUUUAGCGGAGAUAAUGUAAAACUUGAAUACUAUGCCGAUAAACUAUGCCGAUAAAUUACUAGAAAAGAACUACGCUGUGUUACUGGUGCUAUAGUGGUGUUAUAGCUGUCAGAAACUUACUAUAGUUUUCACAGUAAAUGUUUUACAUUGCAACCUCCCAUAGCAUCUCAUAUCCAGGAGAGAGCAACAUUCCUGACAUUUACAGUGUGUACUUAAGACAUAACCGACAUUCCGGAGGUGAACAUGGACCAUAAAUAAAGACAUAUAUAUGUUUUGCAUAAACCUUUCUUGCGCUGUCUGACUGAUUGCCUGAAAAUGCAUACCUACAUCUAAUCUCUGUCACCACUUCAUACAAACACACUACUCACACUUAGCCUCUCUGACACACACACACACAGAGACACACACACACACACACACACACACACACACACACACACACACACACACACACACACACACACACACACACACACACACACACACACACACACACACAGACACACACACACACUGAUCAGAAGUGAUGAGUGAACGAAUGAAGU
This is a long non-coding RNA of Clupea harengus (Atlantic herring), 2819 nucleotides long. The record is from Ensembl. Lineage: Eukaryota; Metazoa; Chordata; Actinopteri; Clupeiformes; Clupeidae.